UGGUGUCCCAAAUUUUAAUGGUAAUACUUUUUCCUGUUGUUCCUAAUAGGUUGUUUCUCUCACGUAGGCCUAUAUGUCACACUGAGCUUGAAAUUCCCAUCAUCCACAAAGCAACAGAACAGCAUUAUUUGUCUGCUCCCUCCUUUCUUUGAGAGCAAUUCAGGCUUACUACUGAAAUCAUUUCAUCCAGUAAUCAGGGAGUGUCAAGUUAAAAAGAAAAAGAAGGAAAAACUCGAAAGUGCCAUAAAAGUCUAUUGACAGAAAAUCUUCAAAUGACAUUUGACUGACUGCAAGAGUUUCAGCUCCAGGGAGGAUCUUAACCUUGUGCUGAGAGGAGCAGGAUAUCUGCCUGGCUUGGGCCUCUGCCAUGCCCUAACUGGAGGAGUGUUAUUAGAUUCUGCUUUUCACAGACACCAUCAGGUGCCUUUCAGACCCCAGCAGUCCAUCUGCACCCACACACAGAGACUAUCGCCACAGAGACGUCCAAGACAAACACGCGGCUGGGUGAUGCAGAAGUCCAAAACAUCUGAACUCAGGUUGUGUCAUCCAAAAUCGAGCAAACGUGUAAAAUAAGCAUACCUCUUCUCAUUUAAUUUAAUUUAAGUGUGUGUGUGUGUAUACACUGAUCAUUUAUAACAUUAUGACCACCUUCCUAAUAUUGUGUUGGCCACCCUUUUGCUGCCAAAACAGCCCUGACCCAUCAAGGC
Long non-coding RNA from Megalobrama amblycephala (Wuchang bream), 707 nucleotides. RefSeq lists it as uncharacterized. The record is from RefSeq and is a predicted model, not a curated record. Lineage: Eukaryota; Metazoa; Chordata; Actinopteri; Cypriniformes; Xenocyprididae. The transcript is spliced from 3 exons.